Molecule: long non-coding RNA, 483 nt
Organism: Harmonia axyridis
Lineage: Eukaryota; Metazoa; Arthropoda; Insecta; Coleoptera; Coccinellidae
Exons: 2
Source: RefSeq, a predicted model, not a curated record
GAGUUGCUUCCAAAUACCGGAAAUAUUCAGUUAAACUGAGGAAUACACUAUUUUCUUUGUCCAUCAUAUUUCUUUCUGCACAAAUAACACUCAAAAUAUUUUUGUUUACAAUAUCUUACCUUUAGCCGAAAAAGCAUGCUGAAGAGGGCGCUGCCUACCCUUGAAUCGGGAAUACUCACUUCCAAUCCUAUCAAACUUCAACAAACGUCAAUUGGUGAAUUGUCAAUAUAAUAUAAUUUGGAUAUAGUAAAACGAUUGUUGAGAGGAAAAGUUUUAUUUUCAUUAAGAAAUAAGGACUGAAGGGAAUUUUCCUAUUACGAAGAUGAAUACACAUAGCACAAAUGUAUCUAUAGGAAAACUAUUGAACAGCAAUUUGAAUCCUGAAUCAAGUUUGAUUGGUGCUUCUAGAAAAUUAUGAUUGUGUAUAAUGUACAUUUCUCCGAUUAAAGACUUUGUUACUUAAUGAAUGAUACAAAAUCAAAA